This is a long non-coding RNA of Tachysurus fulvidraco (yellow catfish), 398 nucleotides long. RefSeq lists it as uncharacterized. The transcript has 3 exons. The record is from RefSeq and is a predicted model, not a curated record. NCBI's taxonomy places the organism in Eukaryota, Metazoa, Chordata, Actinopteri, Siluriformes, Bagridae.
UCCCUGAUUCAGUUUUCUACCUUGUUUAGAGGACUCAAUAACCCAAGAGCUUAGAAUUACUCGAGUGAAACCUGUUGAUUUAGUGCUAGUGACACUUAUGUACGUCGAAGCCAGCGCAUUUCACAAACAACCUGAUGGCCUCAUAAAGCCAACUAAGCAGAGACGCUCAUCAUUCUCUUCCUUGCUUUUUUGGCAGAACCUCACUGAGAAGGCUGUGGGGUUCCAGCAACUCCUCCAGUCAUCAGCAGCUAUUCCAGGAUUGUGAAUGGGGAGGAAGCAGUGCCUCAUUCCUGGCCCUGGCAAGUGUUUCUGCAGGAUGUGAACGGUCUCUGCUUCUGCACUGGCUCUCUAUUUAAUGAUUGGUGGGUUUUAUCUGCUGCCCACUGCAAUGUCAGGUA